This 5101-nucleotide long non-coding RNA is filed under the name Malus domestica (apple). RNAcentral describes it as "long non-coding RNA (MDOM_LNC017145)". Lineage: Eukaryota; Viridiplantae; Streptophyta; Magnoliopsida; Rosales; Rosaceae. The record is from RNAcentral.
GGUGUCUCAACAGCAAAGAGGUUUACGAGGUUUUAAGCCACCGCGGGUGGCUAGAUUUCUUCCCACUUUUUGCAACAGUUCAUGAGAUCUGCAUUGGCACUCUUCCUCCAUCAGCCAUAGUUGAACAUAGUGAGCGCACGCCUAAAAUCUAGCCGGCUCUUCCCACGGCCCGCUUAUCAUGGGUAGGGGGUAGUUUACUUAAGUGAUGUCUUUCACACAAUAGCGAAGACGAGGCGAAACUUUGGAAUACGGUUGCAGGGCAAAGUACGUAACCUGCUCAGAAGCUAUUUUCCUUGACAGCAAAUGAAGUCCAACGUUUCUCUUUAGUUUCUGUUACAUCUUUUUCGUUCUUUCGAAUUGUACCCAUGUUUGAUGCACAAUGUGUGAUGUGAGGUUCUAAAAGGCGUUAGGCGCUAGUCGGGCGGCGGGAUGGGGCCUAGCGCCUAGGCGGACUAGGCGGAUUUAAGUAAAUCUAUUUUAUUUCGUGUAAAUAAGUGUCUGUUUAUACUUAAAAUAUACAUAAUUUCGUCAUAAACUAGAAAAUAGAAUGACAUAUAUAUAUUAUGAAGUAUUGAAACAUAAUGAAAACAUAGGGAGCAAACAUAUAAUGUGUGUUUAUUUAAGUAUUCAAUAAGUUUCUUACAAUUUAUUGGAAACAAUAAAAUGCAAAAGGAAAGUUAUCUAUUUUUUAUCUAAGUGAGUUGCAACCUAGGCAGGUAUCUAGGCGGGUUUGGGUGGUCUAGGUGGGUGCCUAGGCGGUCUAGGCGGGCUAGGCAGAUGCCUAGGCGGUUUAGGCGGGCUAGGCAGAUGCCUAGGCGGUCUAGGCAUUAAUCGGGACGGUGACUAGCCGCCUAGCGCCUAGGCGGGGAUUUUUAGAACAGUUAUUGUGUGAUCAUCACCGAGUUGUAAACUUCUUUAGAGAAUACACACGUAAUAGAAUAAAGAGCUAGAACGAACCACUUCCGGUGUCACAGUUUGAGAACGAGAGAUCGAAGUCUCGAUUGCAAUUGAUUUUGUUUCUCGAACUGGUUCAGAAAGUAGACCAUCGCGGUUUCGUUAUUUAACACCAAACCCUUUCUCAUUUCUUGAAAUAGAAGUUAUACAACUGCCACAAACCCAAAUUACACAGCAAGAAUACCAUAAAUUAGAAGGAAAAAAAAAAACAAACGACCCAAAUAAUCUUCCCACAACACCAAACCCCGGCUUUGAAUUUUGCGUAUGGUUUUAUUCCAACAGUUACUCAGUUCGUAGUCUAUCCAACCGAUCCACACUCUUCUGCGCUCUGUCCAUUUGGUGGUCGAUACUUUUUCUAGACUUCUCAUGGCAGUCCACGCUUCUCCGAGACCUUUCCAUAUGGUCGAAAGAUACUCUUAAUUUUUCUAGUUUAUCAGCACUGAUGAACUGAUUUUUCAGUUUUUCAGGCCUAUCAGUGCUCUUCCUCGGUUUCUCCCUUCGAUCUGUGCUCUUCCUUGAAACUUCGUAAACAUCAGUACUCUUCCGAGGCUGCUCGAACUGGUCCGUGCUUCUCCUAGAACUGUAUCUCUGGGAAGGAGACUUCUCAACGGUUGAUAUGAACUUCUUGAGACGCCUGAUAUACUCAGGAUAGAGCUCUAAAUCACAGUGGUUCCCUCCUUUAAGCCAUAGUGGUUCAUACUUCUCUUUACACAGUUCCCAGAGUUGCUUGCCAUGGGAGCAAUCGACUAGUACUUCAUCCGCAGUCCCCUACAAGAUGAUGCAAUGGCUAAAAAAUGUGAGGAGUAGGCCGAGUUGGUAUCUCAUAUAGUCAUCAUAUAUAUAAUCUUUCGACAUAGCGUGCCAGAUGAUGAUCAAACAAAACCCUUAUUCUUACCAGUAUGUACGCUUUACAGGAUACAUGACUCUUAAACCAGAUAGUAUGGGACUACGCAGGACAACAUAUAUUUUGUAAGGAAAACUAACGAAAAGUCUAAAAAAACUUCUCUUUUAACGAAAAGUCAUUUUUAAAGGUAUAGUGAAUAAUGACAGUUAAAGGUAAAAAAGUGAUUUUUCGUUAAAAAUGAACCGUACCGGAAGUGUUUUAUUAAAACUCUUUUUUUUGUAAGAUGUUUUGAUUGGACAGGAGAGAGAUGAAAAACAUAAAAGGUGUAGUAUAUGGUAGUAAUUUUAAUUUAUUAGAUCAUAGAGGAGAUCGCCAUAUUUGUCUUGGAGUUCAAUACAAUUUAGGCAUCGUUUGUGACGAAACGUGUAUGGCAUAUCCGCCCCGACGGGUGUCUUCCCUCUUAUAUUCUCUGUCUCCUCUCCUUCUCUCUCGCUCCUCCUAUACCUUUUCCUCUAUCAUCUACGCGUUGCCCUUUUGCCCUCCUCUCUUUCUCUCUCCUUUCCUCUCUCUCUCCUCUUCAUCCAUGGCUCCAGAACUCCAACAGGAGGAAGAUUACACUACUGGCCCUGAAGCUCCUCACAAAACCAGAGUCACCGUCGUCGGCAGUGGCAACUGGGGUAGUGUUGCCGCCAAACUCAUUGCCUCCAACACCCUCGGGCUCUCUUCCUUCCACGGUAUUAUUUGUUUCCUGUUUGUUUUCUGCAUUUCCAUUUUCUUUCUGCAUGCAAAGACAGAAUCUUUAUGUGUGCCAGCCAACGGUCAGAAUUUUUGUUUAUGUCCCUUAUAUUAUUCUCUAAUUUUAUGUUUGGUUGCUGAGAAAGUGAACAUAUUGUUCGUUUUGUUCCUAAAUAAUGCCAAAUUAAUUGAAUUUUCUUGUUUGAUUCUGGGAUUUUAUUCUGUUCGGUGUUUAAUGAAUGAAAAAUCUGGAAACCCAAUUGUAAUUUAAGUUUUUAAUGAAAACCCAUUUGCAAUUUGAGUAUUUUUUUUUUCUGCAUUGGAAUUCAGAUGAAGUGAGAAUGUGGGUGUUUGAGGAAACAUUACCAAGUGGUGAGAAGCUCACAGAUGCCAUCAACCGCAACAAUGUAAAAAAGCAACGAUCUUUAAUGCACUCUUCUUAUAUGUGCAUGAAUUUAUCCUGUUGUAAACGUUUGUAUCAUGUUUUUCGAUAGGAAAAUGUGAAAUACCUGCCCGGCAUUAAGCUGGGGAAAAAUGUUGUUGCAGACCCAGACCUUGAGAAUGCAGGUACUUAAUUUCUCAGCAAAAUAUUUGGUCAACUUUUUAAAGUUACUAUGUUUUGAAUUUGUGCAAUUUGUUGGGUGCUUGGAGCAAAUUUUUUAUAGUUGGGGGAGUUUUGCAGUGAACGGUGCGAACAUGUUGGUAUUUGUUACUCCACAUCAAUUUAUGGAGGGUAUAUGCGGGAGGCUUGUUGGGAAGGUAAAAGCGGAUGUGGAGGCAAUUUCCCUCAUCAAAGGAAUGGAGGUCAAGAUGGAAGGCCCGUGCAUGAUCUCGACACUCAUCUCACAGCAGUUGGGUAUUAAUUGUUGUGUUCUGAUGGGAGCAAACAUAGCUAAUGAGGUAAUUUAGCUUGACUCGUCACUCCACAACUUUCGUUUCCCAGAUCAUAUCACGUCUGGUGUGGCUGAAACUAGAAUCUGUUUGUGUAGAUUGCUGUGGAGAAAUUUAGCGAAGCCACGGUUGGAUACAGAGAGAACAAAGAGAUUGCACAGAAAUGGGUUGAGCUCUUUAGUACUUCCUACUUCAUAGUCACACCUGUGAGUACAUCGAAUACAUUGUUACAAUGAAUGUCAUAAUAGUACUUUUAGUCUUUUACUAUCAUGAAUGUUUGGCACGGACAGGAACUACUUUAGUUUCCCACACAUUUAGUAAAAAUUUGGUAGUACGUUAGCUACGCUAAAUACUUAUCCCUGUGUAUAAUUUGAUUUAGCGAUUGACAUCAAAUUUAUAUUGGAAUGCUCCAUUGACACCUUUCCGUGUUUGAAAUUUAUAGAUCCAAGAUGUGGAAGGGGUAGAACUAUGUGGAACCCUGAAAAAUGUUGUGGCCAUAGCAGCAGGUUUUGUGGAUGGGUUGGAGAUGGGAAAUAACACAAAGGUAAGCUCAAAAAUUUUGGUAAAAGUUGAACCCACAUCUCAUCUGCUUUUUCUAUGUCAUUUUGACUGCUUAUUUUGAAUGACCAGGCUGCAAUUAUGAGAAUCGGUCUAAGAGAGAUGAAGGCAUUUUCCAAGAUGUUAUUUUCAUCUGUCAAGGACACCACCUUCUUUGAAAGCUGCGGUGUUGCUGAUCUCAUCACGACAUGCCGUAUGGAAGCAUGACGAUCUCUUAUUUUCAUUUUUUUUGUUUUUUCUUUCUUUCUUACCUCUGUGUGUUUGGCAGUGGGAGGAAGAAACAGGAAAGUUGCGGAAGCUUUUGCAAGGAGUGGAGGGAAAAGGUAAAUCUCCGCAAUUUGGUGCAUACAACCUUGUAAAAAACUGGGGUAGUUUCUUACUAUUGCCAUUAUGUUUGUUGUCUGCAGAUCGUUCGAUGAGCUUGAAGCAGAAAUGCUGCAGGGUCAAAAAUUACAGGUAUGCAUUUAAAACAAUAGGCUUUAUAGCAACUGAACUUUGCUAUUACUCGGAUUUUUAUAUUGCAUUAAUAUGCAGCCUGAUCAAUUAAAAUGGAAAAUGAGUUCUGUAAGGAUGCAGCCCGAAACUAUCUAUUCAUAAAUGUUCUCGUUCCUUUUCUGAAGGGUGUCUCAACAGCAAAAGAGGUUUACGAGGUUCUAAGCCACCGCGGGUGGCUAGAUUUCUUCCCACUUUUUGCAACAGUUCAUGAGAUCUGCAUUGGCACUCUUCCUCCAUCAGCCAUAGUUGAACACAGUGAGCGCACGCCUAAAAUCUAGCCGGCUCUUCCCACUGCCCGCUUAUCAUGGAUAGGCGGUAGUUUACUUAAGCGAUGUCUUUCACACAAUAGCGAAGACGAGGCGAAACUUUGGAAUGUUGGUUCACACAGAAGCCAGCACUUUGCAACAAUAUACGGUUGCAGGGACAAAGUACGUAACCUGCUCAGAAGCUAUUUUCCUUGACAGCAAAUGAUGUCCAACGUUUCUCUUCGGUUUCUGUUACAUCUUUUUUGUUCUUUCAAAUUGUACCCAUGUUUGAUGCACAAUGUGUAAUCAACACCAAGUUGUAAACUUCUUUAGAGAAUACACAAGUAAUAGAAUAAAGAGUUAGAACGAACCAUUUCUU